This is a long non-coding RNA of Solea senegalensis (Senegalese sole), 1442 nucleotides long. RefSeq lists it as uncharacterized. Lineage: Eukaryota; Metazoa; Chordata; Actinopteri; Pleuronectiformes; Soleidae. The record is from RefSeq and is a predicted model, not a curated record. The transcript has 2 exons.
CUAGCGUCUAAGGGGGAAAGACACGCGUCGGAACAAUCCCAACUGAUGUUUGUUCAUUUUCAGGCAGAUGGCCGCACAUCUUUGAGUCUGGUUCUGUCGGAGAUUUUCUUCCUGUUCAAAGGGAGUUGUUGGUUUUUUCUCUCUCCACUGUUGCCUAUAGUGCUUGCUCAUUGCGUGGCUUGUUAUGAAGGUUUUUUGCUUUACUAUGUAUGUUACUCUUCUACAUUGAGCAAUUUAUCUGUUACUACUGAUGAGAUUUCACAUGUUAUGUUAAAUAUUCUCUUGCAAACCUUUUUACUGAUCCAGGAUCAGCAGUGGAACAUGCUGAGAGGUCGUUUAAAUCAAUAAUAAAAAAAAAAAGCUCCUCUAAUUAAAUCCUCGUAUAUAAUCAGCGGUGACAAGGAGGUCCAUGGGUCGGUGAAGGGGUUAAAUGACGCACGACUCGUCCAUCGCUCACCACUUCAUUCCACUGUCGUUUUUAUGCACACUCACUCAUGACUGAUGGGAGAACAUGAAGAGAGGUUAAAGGGCGGAAGGGGGCAGACUGACCGUUUUGGAAGGGGCUGCCAUGGUCUCCAUCUCCUCAUGGGUCACCCACACGUUGCCUGACGGCUACGAGGGGGCGGAGCCCAAGAGACAGAGCAGCAGCAGCAGCGGGAGGAGCAGCAGUAGCAGUAACAGGGUGGUAGUAGAGGUCCGGCAGGAAGGGCAAGCAGUGUUAAAGAAGAAGAGCAGCACCACUGUAAGCCAAUAGUGUUACAGCAUCACAGUCAGAUGUUGAAGUGGCCCCCGAAACCCGCCCAAAGGGAGGGAGGGGGCGGGGUCAAAGGGCACAGACACACAGUACAGCACCAAAACAUCCCAACUUUGGCGCCAAAACUAAAGACACCAUGGUCACCAUGCAUGAGACAAGGACACAAGUUUGUGUUAUGAACAUGAACAAACACAAACAACACGUUACCUGUGUGUUCUAACAGUGAAACAUACACUUAAGUCUAAUUGUGCCAACUAGGACUGCAUAAUAAUAAUCGAUUAAUCUGUUUAUAACUAUUAUUUAUUAUCUAUUAUAGUUUUGAGAACUUGUUAGGUCUGUGAAAUGUUGGUCUGUGUUUGCCAAAAUCAUUCCGUUUUAUUGAUUUCUUUGUGACAUGGAGCAAAGAAACCAGAAGAUAUUCACAUUUAAGAAAAUAUUUUUUAGAUUUAAUUCAUUUGAAUUAAUCGAAUAGUCUUUGCAGCCCUAGUUCUAAACAUGCUUUCAUUUACAUUAAUGACAGCAAAAUUUAACAUAUACUGUAAAGGCAAAUUUUACUAAAGCUAGCGUACAAAAAGUUAAUAGGGGUGCGAAUUGCCAGAGACGCCACAAUAUUAUACUCACACAACAGCUCUAGUGAGCGUGAGUAUUUGGCGCCACCUAGUGGACUGAAACAUCGGCUGUUUUUUUU